UGGUGGAGUGAUUUGUCUGGUUAAUUCCGUUAACGAACGAGACCUCGACCUGCUAAAUAGUUGGCAUCAUCUUUUUGAUGGUGUGAUAAACUUCUUAGAGGGACUACCGGUGUGUAGCCGAUGGAAGUUCGAGGCAAUAACA
RNAcentral lists this ribosomal RNA (142 nucleotides) under uncultured eukaryote. RNAcentral's name for it is "partial 18S ribosomal RNA". It matches the Rfam family "Eukaryotic small subunit ribosomal RNA", at positions 1299 to 1458 of the family's 1831-position model. The record is from RNAcentral.